RNAcentral lists this ribosomal RNA (433 nucleotides) under uncultured bacterium. RNAcentral's name for it is "bacterial SSU rRNA". It matches the Rfam family "Bacterial small subunit ribosomal RNA", at positions 29 to 507 of the family's 1533-position model. The record is from RNAcentral.
AACGAACGCUGGCGGCAGGCCUAACACAUGCAAGUCGAGCGAGGUAGCAAUACCUAGCGGCGGACGGGUGAGUAACGCGUGGGAACGUACCCUUUGCUACGGAAUAGCCCCGGGAAACUGGGAGUAAUACCGUAUGUGCCCUUCGGGGGAAAGAUUUAUCGGCAAAGGAUCGGCCCGCGUUGGAUUAGGUAGUUGGUGGGGUAAUGGCCUACCAAGCCGACGAUCCAUAGCUGGUUUGAGAGGAUGAUCAGCCACACUGGGACUGAGACACGGCCCAGACUCCUACGGGAGGCAGCAGUGGGGAAUCUUAGACAAUGGGCGCAAGCCUGAUCUAGCCAUGCCGCGUGAGUGAUGAAGGCCUUAGGGUUGUAAAGCUCUUUCAGAUGGGAAGAUAAUGACGGUACCAUCAGAAGAAGCCCCGGCUAACUCCGUG